Molecule: long non-coding RNA, 5003 nt
Organism: Panicum virgatum (switchgrass)
Lineage: Eukaryota; Viridiplantae; Streptophyta; Magnoliopsida; Poales; Poaceae
Exons: 8
Source: RefSeq, a predicted model, not a curated record
UCCCAUCAAAAUUUCGGAGCGCCGCCGCCGCGCCGACCGCUUCAGCCAGCUCCGCCUCAGCCUGGCCCAGCCGCCGUCCUCAGCGUCCGGCCACGCCGUCGUCCGCCGCGUCCCCCGCCGCGCCUCGGCUCCUCCGCGGCCGGCGUCCAGGGCGGGCUGGCGUGCCGCGCGCCAUGCACGGCCGGCGUCCAGGGCGCCCGGCCUGCCGCGUGCCGCGGCCGGCUUGGGCAGUCAGGGGUGGGCCAAGCGGGCCCUCCGGCGUGGGCGGGAGCCGUGCGCCUCGCCCUGUGUGCGGUGCCCGGCGCCGCCGCCGUAUGCUGCCGCCGUUGGCGCACGGCCUUGCCGGGAGCCGUGCGCCGAGCCGCGCGUGCGGUUCCCUGCGCCGCCGCCGUGAGGUGCCGCCGUGGCCCUCCGGACUGGCGGGAGCCCUGCGCGGCCGGCCUGAGCUCCCGCCGUAAGGCACCUUCGGCGUUCGCCGUGCGGCGAGCCGUGCGGCUUGCGGCCUGGGCAUCCGGCCUGCUCGGAGGGCCUCCGCCUCCCGACGGAGACGGCGGGGAGGACGCUCGAGUAGCUCCCGUCCAGGGUCGUCGCUGUCGUGCCGCGCGGGAAGGGCGAGGACGAGUUCGGCGAGGAGGCGUGGACCAAGGAUAAAUCUAUAUCAGGAUUUAUAUCCUAUGCUCUCUGUGCAGCUGAUGAGGCUUUGAAGGUGCAAAUUGGUUGCCUUCAGAAGAUGAGAAGAAAGAAAAAAUGGGAGUCUCUAUUGGUGGAGGCAUUGGAAGCAUCUCAAACAUUUUAGAUGCAUCACAAAUGACAUUGAAAAUGUCUGUAUCCUUACUCCUGCAUUUAUCUUUUCUGGUUGCAAAUUUUAUUUUAGUAGCUAUUCAUAUGUGAUGGUGAUGUCGAUGUGAUGGUGGCUGGUGGAACAGAGUCCACUAUCGAUGCUUUGUCUAUAUGUGGAUUUGAAAAUAGUAGUUUGUAUACUUUUGUGACUGAAAAAUGGCUUGAAUGCUUCAGUAACGUAAUUAGGUGCAACUGUUAAGUGUGAGGAUUGUAGAAAGCCAUAGAGAAUCCACUUUUAUGUUCAGAAAUAAACAUGACGAAUAAAUAGCCUAUGCAGACUUGGUCACCUGCAUAUUUGCUUUUUGCCCACUGUUUUCGUGAUUGAUAUGUAGCUCCUUUGAUAUGUAGCUCCCAUCUUGAUUUUGUGCAAGGUUGCAGAUCUGUUGGUUCCUGGGUUCUUAGUGUGGUGCUGGUUCGGAUUCCCCUGCUGCUUGUUCUGUAUAUACAAACCUCCCCCCACCCCCUCCUGUGAUGUCUUGUGCUAAUCUGAGUAUAUGUCCAUGCCUAUAAUCUGUUCAUGUAUAUAUGGCAGUGAUGUUUUUUCAGCUGUCUAUGCCUAUGAAAUUUUCCUAAUCUGUACAUGUGGCCAUUACAUUGUUAUUUUUUUUGUUUAUGCAUAUUUCUUCCAUUCAUGUGAUGUUAGUUCCAGUUUAUUUAUCAACUAUCCCAUUGACAUCUAUAUUAAAACACAUUCAAUGUGUGGAAUUGUAUAAAUGGAUUUGCAAGACAAGAGAUGCAAGCUAUUUGCUUGGGCUCCUCAUCUUAUCACAGCCAUGUAUGCAUUCUUUCUGAGUAGAAUUAUGUGAUACUGUGUUAGCACGGGCCAAUUUACUAGUCGACCCACUAAAGCACCAAAGCGAUUUUUGCUUGGUCUACCCCGUCGAUGCCCCCCCCCUGAGAGAGCACCUCUAUGCGCACCAAAAAAUUGUACCCACGCAAUCCCCUACAACACAAAACGGAGGGACCAGAUUUCAUCGGCCUCCAAACGGACGGACGAGAGCAAAAGGCUUCAACGCCGUCCACGUCCACGCGGGCUCCAAAUCCGCUGUAAGCUGCCUUAACGCUACUUUAGUAUCAGGUCCAAAUUUGAAAGUUCUCAAAACCAUUUUAGUACCCUGCCAAGCCACCAGCCGAUACUAAAUUUUGCAUUUUAGUACCAGUCGGUGUUACUUCGAAAUGAAUGCAUCUCCGACUCAGUCACAAGUGAUGCAUAUGUGAGAUGGUAAGGAAACAACAUGUGAAGCCGGAGGUCAUGGGUUCGAAUCCUCAUGAUCGCGCACGCGCAUCUACGCAUGAAAAUUUUGUGUAACUUGGGACUUGGGACGAUGCGCGUGUGUAGGCCUCCAAGGGGUUUGUCAAUUUUUUUUUUGGGCUCAAAACCAUUUAGUACCGGUGCGUGUGACGUCCCAUUUAGUACCGGAAAACCGGUACCGGUCGGGCGCCCGGUACUAAAUAGGGGUUUCCGACCGGUACUAAUAGCCUUUUUCUCUGGCUGUGACCGAACAAGCCCUAAUAUACACUAGGCCGGAAACAAUUUGGCGUGGCGGCCAAAUCGUAUCUGUGCUGGCGGGUGGGAGGCCCGCCAGCACUCGUGUGCCAGCACAAAUGCUGGCGGGCCGCCAGCAGAGUUUGCAUCUGUACUGGCAGACUAUUUAACACGCCCGCCAGCACAAAUUGCCAUCUGUGCUGAUGGGUGGCUUAACUAACCCGCCAGCACAAAUACAAAAAAGAAAAAGAAAGAAGCCCGCUGAGCACAUCACGGGCCCGGCGAGCCCAUCCGCCAUCGGCGUAGGUGUCCGCACGCCCGCCGCGCGCACGGGCGCCGGAUUUGGCAUUGGGAGCAGCCGCGCCCGCCGCUGUGCACGCAGCUGCUGCCCGGGCGCCGCUGCUGGAUCUAGCCUCACCGCCAAGGCCUCGCCCGAGCCUCUACUCGGCCUCGCCUGCGUGCCGUCCCGGCCUCGUCCGGGCUGCCGACCACCGGAUCCAGGCCUGCACCGCCGCUCGACUUCGCCCACGCGCCGUCCCGGCCUCGUCCGGGCUGCCGACCGCCGGAUCCGAGCCAGUGUCGCCGCUCAACCUUGCCCGCGCGCUGUCCCGGCCUCGUCCGGGCCGCCGACCGCCAGAUCCGGGCCCGCGCCGCCACUCCGCCUCGCCCACGAGCCGUCCCGGCCUCGGCCGCGCCGCCGACUGCCGGAUCCCGGCUGUGCCGCUGCCUCACCCUCACCUGCGCGCCGCCGCCUCGUCCUCACCCGCGCGCCGCCAUUCGCGCGCGGGGAGGGAGAAACGGGAGGGGAGGGGAGCCGCGCCGGCGUCCAGCUUCUUGGGCGCAGGGGAAGCGUGCGAAGGGGCGUGGCGGCGGUGGAGGCAGUGGGGGGGGGGGAGAAUGAGACUGAGAUGAAAUCUCAAACCCUAAUAGUAUAUAUAUAUUAGUAAACCUUGGGUAUUCAGUAGUGGAACCCCCAACCCGACCAUCACGCCGAGCUGAGCUCAACCCACCGCCCCGUGGCCGGUUUUCUGUCCGGCCGGUUCCUCCAAACGGUUUUCUUUUUGGUUCCCAGUUCCCAGAUCGUGGCCACGAUCUCACGACACGGUGUCCUGCAGGGAUCCUAAUCUUCCCCCUCGCUCCGCUCCGGUGCCGCGGUGCCACCCUGCGCCUCCCGCUCCGGUGCCGCCCUGCGCUGCCCGCUCCCGGUGAUGCCGCUCCGAUCCUCCCAUCGCCGAUCCGGUGAAUGGCGCCUCCCGCACGCCAGCUACUGGCCAGGCCCUGCGCAUCCUCACAUUCAAGGCUUCCCCGCGUCAGAUCGGGAUUGUGGGUGGUGGUUUCUUCGAUUUCGUCGCCAGGAUAGAGUGCCCUUCGUUCGAUCGGCUACCUCAUGCGGGAUGGGGGCGAGGAUGCAAAGGCGACGGAGACCUGCAGCAGCUCAGCUUCCUCACGGUCUCCUCAAGCUUGCAAUUUCUUCGAAGGUUUUAUCCUCGGAUGGCCCAGAGAGACUUGGCGCGGCGGCGGAGCGUUCCACAGCCACCCACCCGUCUGCUGGUGAGGUCUUCCCAGAUUGAAGAUUGGUGCUUCAAGCAGUCAAUUCUCUUGUUUCUGCUGCCGGCAUCAGUGGCUGCUACAUGACACAACCGACGGCUUUGUUUGGUGGGCAAGCUGACUUCCUCCCUAUGAUGUUGAUGAUACGGAUCAAGCGACGGCCAGUGCAUUAGUCUACUUAGAUGCCGGUGCCAUGUUUUGUGCAAGAACAAGAACAACAACCUCGAACCCAUACUGGACAAAGCACGAGAGUUUACCUCUCACUUGCGUGCAUUGUGAGGACACAAGGAGCUGAUGGGCAAGCUGGUUCAUACCAGCUUUCAGCUUGAGCUCCAAUGUUGUCUCCAUGAACAUCAUGGAGACCAUUGCCAGAGUCUUUGUCGAGCCAUUGAUGUUCAUCAGUUGGGGGUAGGGGAGGUCCACACCAUAAUCUUUUGUGGCAUCUCCUCUAUCCAGCUUCUCAUGGACCAUGGCGAGCUUGGCCAUCGGAAUCAGAGGAUGGAUUCUGGUACGAGGUCAGUGCAUAUGAUGCCUAUCAAUCCGAGGAGAACAAGGUGGUUUAGGAGUCCCAGAUGACUGGGUACACAAGCAACGGUCAGUGCAUAUGAUGCCUAUCAAUCCGAGGAGAACAAGGUGGUUUAGGAGUCCCAGAUGACUGGGGCUAUCCAGAGGAUGGAGGAGGUUCUGCAGCAGGUAAUUCUGGUAUCCAAGUCGAUUGGGGAAACCGAAUUAGAAGCAAAACUUGAGGAGGCAGUCAGCAAGAUCAAGAGGCGCAUAGUAUCCACUGCAUCUUUGUAAUUGUAACAUGUAUUGACGGUGUCAUAAUUUCGUAAGAGCUCCCAAGAGCAUAGAGAAAUUAAGUCUCUCUUAGCUAUUUCGCUCCAAGUGUUGUUGGCCUGAUGGAGAUGUCUGGUGGAAACAUGGAACAGUGAUGUGGCAGGCAAAGUUUUGUUAGUGUUGUUAACCUUGUACGUAGGGAUGAAAACAGAUCGGAUACGGACGGCUAUCACUGAUAUCGUAUUUGUUUUCAUAUUUGUGUUCAAAUACGGUGUCUGAUACGGAUAGUGUUAGUUUUUGUUGAAUAAGAUUGUAAUAAAUAUCGACAUUAUAAAAAUGUAACUUUUGAGCA